GUGAGGGAGCUGCAGGCCGCCAUGAGGCCUCCCCUCAGCCUGCUCUGCUCUGGGCUGAACAAACCAAGGGACCUCAACUGCUCCUCAUAUGUCUUCCCCUCUAGACCCUUCACCAUCUUCAUAGUCCUCCCUUGGACACUCUCAUGGUUUUAAAUCCCAUGGGCCCCA
This is a long non-coding RNA of Oxyura jamaicensis (ruddy duck), 168 nucleotides long. RefSeq lists it as uncharacterized. The record is from RefSeq and is a predicted model, not a curated record. Lineage: Eukaryota; Metazoa; Chordata; Aves; Anseriformes; Anatidae. The transcript is spliced from 3 exons.